GUGAACUCAUGCGUCUUCUAACCUAGACUGCCACGUUCACGAUCUUUCGGCCACCAGUUUUCUAAUACCGACUUUUCAUAUCUUCUCAGUUCUCGCAUUGCUUCAGAGUGUUGCUGCAAUUUCAAGUAUUUCAACUCUUAUCUGUUUCAUCUUUUCUUCUUCUUGGUUUGAAUCAGUUUGUAUUUGCUCACCUAACGGAUUUGAUUCUAUGGGUUCACGAAGUUUUAAUCUUUUUUAUGUUUUGGCCCAAAAAGGGAUUGCUGUAAGCGAAGGGGAAAAAGAAGAAAGGCUUCAGUCUGUGUUGUUGUAAAUAUUGUUCUUGCGUGUGUUCAACCUCCUUCAUAUUUCUUGAGAUGGCACAUAAAUUUAUUCUCAACUCAGUCACUCUAAAAACUCGAGGAUUGGACAUGCAAAGUGCAAGUAGUAGAUAUAUAUAUCCACCAAGGGACAACAAAGAAAACCAAAAAAUACCAACUGAUGGUUACAGGAUGAGGAGGUGCUUCUACCACUUGUAGAUUCUGCAAACUUUACAUGCUACCACAAUUUAGUAGUAACAAACUUGUGUCUUAUUUGACUGCAUGAAAACCUUUGAUGCUUCAAGUAUCAAGUCAAAGAUUUUGAAUUUGAUGUCCUUGGACUGCUGAUUAAUGCUGGUCUUCCAAGUAUUGCAGCAAAUGGGAAGAGUAUACAAGAAUUCAUCAUUACGGAUACUCAUUUUUUGGAGGUGUUUGUAUGGGUACUGCAUCGCCGCGCAUAUCCACAGAAGGCACUCUUCUUUUUCCUCCCUUUGAAGAAGAAUCAAUAUUCAUAUCUGAUAUCCAAACGCAACCGCUGGUACAGAAAUGAAGAGUGACAUUUAACCUUCCAGUCCUUUGCAACUAUUUUUUAAACACCAAAGAAUAAAUCGAUUUCUAAAUUUUACAGGGACAAAUAUUUUACAGAGUGUGAACUCCUGGUGAUAAAUGAGGACCAACAUUUCUACACGGCGUGCUCAGAUUGUAAGAUGUCAUUUAUAAGCAGUACUUCGGCAAGACCAAUCUACUAUAUACAUUGCGACCGAUCAACCCAACUUAUCCCCGGGUAUAACUCAUGCACAUAGCAUGGAAAAAAACUCAUCCUUAGAAAAAGUGUUGAAAGAGUCCAAUUUGAAGUUACGGUCGUCGAUCACACUGGUUGAGCAAUAGCUUCCAUUUCAGACCAAUCAGAAGAGAAGAUGUUGAACCUCACCGUACAAGAUAUUUAUGACAUCUGUCGAACCAAGGUAUUUUGCAUUAUUGACUUUAUAAAGAUACAGUCAACGCGCUGAGAUAAUUAAGAGCAAAGACUUUCAGAAUCCAAAUGAGAAGAUUAUUUUCCAAAAUCCGGACAAGCUAUGUAUUUUGGAUUAUGAGGAAAAAGAUCUGCCGACCAGCCAUUACCAACUGCACCAAUGAUGGGGAUCACUGCAGCAAAUAAGUGGAAGGUUGUGGAGAUUAGUUUAGAACCAAGAAACCAACAAAAGCUGCCCAGCAAAAAUAGCCCUUCUAGCAGUUAACAUAAAACUGAAAUCAGGGCCCCUAUCAAAGGGAUUGAAAGGUACUCAAAAUUUAAGCCUCGCAACUUCGCCCAUGACUGAAUAUGUAUUACUUCAUAAUCUAUUGGCCACUAAGUCACAUAUAUAUUGAGGCUUCCCCUGUAACUCGAGUUCAAGAAACUUUAUCCUAAGCUGCCUGACCAAGGAUGAGAAACACAAAUGAAACAUAAGUGAAAUUAUCAUUUCGAAGCAAAAUAUGUUUUUCCCUUUAUACUGAUGUUGUGUUAAAGUCUUGGAAUAAUGUUAGCGCUAGAAGGUAGAUAAAGAGUAUCCAUGUGGCAUAACUUGAAGUUCAAAAUUAACUGGAAUUGAAAUCUGCAUUCACUAAUCUGAUACAUUUAUUCUAUUAUCCUUUAACCAAACCUUAUCAUACUAAUUGUCUUGAAUAGUUGUAGGGUUCAUAUUUACAAGUCAUCCGGAACCCUGAGUGUGUAGAAGUUUUCAGAUCCCAAAUUUGAAUUUAGUUAUUUCCUGGGGUUGACCAUUUGGAUAACACCACCACAUCACCUGCUAUUCAAAAAACAUCAUUGUUACUUUUAAAAAACUUCUAGGGGAAUAGAGCUUAGUAGACAAAUAUCUAAUGCACAACAGUUGAAUUAAGAAGAGCAUUUAAGGUUUGUUUGCUGAAUUACUUCUCAUAAUCAACUACACUUUAUACAUGGAAAAAUAGAUACAAUGAAUGUUUUAUCUAUGGGUUAUGAGUCAAUAAAUUAUGCCAUUUAAAUAUAGUGCUGAAAGUUUGUCGUGUUGAUGCUUAUACUCUUAUUUCGUUUUCUCAUAAAGUUUUUGAAGCAAAGAAAACCUUAAACUGUCGCUUUUUGUCGCGCUGCGCUGUCUUUUUGACAGGCCGGAGUACAUAAAUACAUGGAUUUUUAAUAAGCCGGAUUAACCCAUGAAGAUACACGAUGCGCCAUGCUUGAAAAAGAAGAAACCUCUACAGGUAUUAUGUUAACGACACCGUGACACAACUACAAGAUGACCGCUACCAACAAAGUAGCUGACUGCGUUACUAAUUUGCUUUCUGUCGUUAUCAGCUUUUGUAAAUAUGUAAUUAAUGUGAUAUGUUGAAAUCAUGAAUGUAUAAUAUGGACAGUGCAAUCUUGAAUGUAACACAAACAAUAUGUGUGCAUAUAUGUUAUAGAGUUUAUUAAGAGUUUAAAAUGUGUAUAUAUAUUACUAACAGUUUAAACAA
Lycium ferocissimum is the source of this 2765-nucleotide long non-coding RNA. RefSeq lists it as uncharacterized. Lineage: Eukaryota; Viridiplantae; Streptophyta; Magnoliopsida; Solanales; Solanaceae. The record is from RefSeq and is a predicted model, not a curated record. The transcript has 7 exons.